RNAcentral lists this non-coding RNA (52 nucleotides) under Trichobilharzia regenti. The record is from RNAcentral. Lineage: Eukaryota; Metazoa; Platyhelminthes; Trematoda; Strigeidida; Schistosomatidae.
GUACUGCUGAAGAGUCCCAAACUAGGCGGACGAAACAGCAGCUUUCCAGUAC